CAUCUUCUUCAUUAUUCGUUAUUCAACCAUCAAAACGCGAUCGAUCUGAGUGUGAGAAGCUUCAGCUAUGGCGUUCUUGAAGGGAAAGGCAGUUGUUACCAAAGUGGCAGCGUUGGCGAGAUUCGGUGUGCUUCCAGCUGCUAUGGUGGCUGCUCUCGUCUACUCUCCUCCUAAUUACGCUCAAAAACAAACCUCCGCCACCACCAAUUAGAUGGAACAGGUGCACGAGGGUAGCAUGAAGAAAAUCAGCAAUAUGUGAGAGUCCUUUAAUGAAGCAUGUUCUGUAAUAAAUUAGGUGAUUAGUUUUUGUUUUUGAAAUAUUAUGAUUGUCUUGGAGAGACCAUUUGUCUCAUUUGGAUUUUGUGGUAUUUCUCUUUGUUAAGCAUCACUAAAAAUAAUAACAAUCAAUGUACCUCCCCAUUUAUUAUCAAGAGAAAUGCUGGAUAAUGCAAUAUUUUUCGUUCGAA
Molecule: long non-coding RNA, 467 nt
Organism: Medicago truncatula (barrel medic)
Lineage: Eukaryota; Viridiplantae; Streptophyta; Magnoliopsida; Fabales; Fabaceae
Exons: 2
Source: RefSeq, a predicted model, not a curated record